This 601-nucleotide long non-coding RNA is filed under the name Gallus gallus (chicken). Lineage: Eukaryota; Metazoa; Chordata; Aves; Galliformes; Phasianidae. The record is from RNAcentral.
CUUGAACCUGAGUUUCAAAGCCACAUUAAAGUCAAGGGGUGUGAACUUACUCAAAUUGAAACCAACUGACAGCUGGCUGGGAGCCCUGGGAAGGGGAGCAGUGGAGCUAUGUGUGCUUCCCUCUGAAGCUGAUGGGAAAAUGUUGAAACCUGUGUCAAGGGGAAUGCUGCCAUUGGCUGCUGGUGGCAAAAUCAGUGUAUAUAUACAUCACCUGAGCUUGUGAGCUCAUCUGCAUGUGGGCCUGAUGUGAUGGGAGCUCAUUUGAAGCCUCAGUCUGGAAGCUGGUGCAGGUUGCUUAGGUGCAGGCUGAGCUCCUGAGGAGCUGUGGGGAUGUAUGCAAAGAUGGUUUUCAGCCUAAAGAAUUAGAGCAAUUUGUGAUGUGACUACUGAGUAGCAUUCCAGGGACAACGUGUCUCCUUCAACACUAAUUAAAGGUAAUUCAAAUGUGUGGCUUCUAACUACUUGCAGAGGACAGCUUAGUAUUGCUAACACCAUGUGGUGUUCGAAGCUGAGAGGUUCCUUGAGUCCCAGGACAGCAUGAACCAGCAUCCCUUCACAGUGCCUCUGAUGAUGGUACCUGUGCUGAUGUGCUGCAUGGCCU